GAUAUAUCCGACAUUUGUGUGUCACAGGACACUAAUUGGCCUAUACACCUCUGGGUGUUGACCCUGUGUACGAGUGAUUCUCACCUUGUGUGUAGCCUGUCUUCACAGGAACCACCACUUCCUUAUCACAAAGUACACCGUGUUCAUUUAUAUGAACACAAGUCAAGUCGAACACAAUACAAGAGAUUUUGCUCUUACGAGCCAACUCAGGUUUUCAUUAAGUGGAAACAUUUGGUCCUUCGAACCGGAGCUCUCUCCACAUCAAGCAAGAUCCUUUUUGCAUCCUACUUUUGCAUCGAGAUUCUUCUCACCUUCCAGGCGGUUUAGUGUUGGUUGCUCAUUCCGAGCCCUAAACCUGCUGACAAGUCAUCGAAACUCUUCAUCUUGAUUCCUGGCCGGUCAUCGUAGAUUCGAUAUUCUUCUUCAACGUUGGGUCCAUCGACACCACCUACUAUGGACGCUGCAGCUAUCACCACGUUGAAGAAAAAGAGGACGACGUUACGACAACAGAUCACCAGAGCUGUCACCAGCCUCACAGCCUUGGUCAACGCUUCAGGUUCACGGAGAGGCGUGAAGGCGCUGGUGGUACACCUCGAUGAUCUUA
Long non-coding RNA from Daphnia pulicaria, 604 nucleotides. RefSeq lists it as uncharacterized. The transcript has 3 exons. Lineage: Eukaryota; Metazoa; Arthropoda; Branchiopoda; Diplostraca; Daphniidae. The record is from RefSeq and is a predicted model, not a curated record.